CUGCUGCUGAAGAGUCCAAAACUGGGACGAAAUGACUGUCCAGUAC
Molecule: non-coding RNA, 46 nt
Filed under: Trichobilharzia regenti
Lineage: Eukaryota; Metazoa; Platyhelminthes; Trematoda; Strigeidida; Schistosomatidae
Source: RNAcentral